UGCAGUCACUUCUAACUGGAGUUAGUUGUCUCAAAUAGAUUUGCUUACGAAUUGACUUGACUUGAAUUGUGUGACCAAUAUUUUACUCUCCAUAAAAGCAGAAAAAGGUUUGUUGCAUAGCUACAGUUUGUACUUCUGUACUUUUUAUAGAGAAGUGUUACACGGGGGGUCAUAAACCUGAAGAAACCUAAAGCAAUUCUGUUUGAGAGAGUUGUUUUAGGCAGGUGUGUAAGACUUUAGGUAUACAGUUCACACAUGACUGUCCUGGUGACUGCAACAAUCAGGGGAAACAGUGAGGAAACUAAAACUAGCAAAAGUAUUUAAUCAAGAUUUUGAUUAAUUUUACUGUCUUUCUGUUUUUAUUGUCUCUCCAUCUCUGCUACAAAUGAAAGGCUUAAUCUCUGUUUGGGAAACCAAACCAUGGACACAGAACACAGUUAAUUAAAUGGAAUUCAAUGUUAAAGAUACAGUACUAAUAAUAUUCACUGCUGAAAUGGUUCCCACUUCCUGCUAAGGUGCUGCUACAUGGCUACUGUGUUGUGUUCCUAGCUGAUUUCUGUGCAGUUGUAUUCCAGAUGGUUGCUAGGGUCUUUAAGGUGGUUGUCGAGUGGUUACUCUGGUAACCCGUUUAACAAUGAGCCAAAUAUAUUUUGUACCAAAUAUAGAUGUAGAAUGUUGUACAAUUUUAAGAUCUUUUAAUAAUCGCAUGAGGUUUAGUAAAUUUCGACAGUAGACGCUGUAUUUUAUUUUUCAUAUUGUACACUGUUUAUGCUUAUGCCCGGCUGUCCUCUUCUUCUUACGUAUGUAGUCUCAUAGACGGCAGGGGUGCCAGACUAAAGAAACAAACACACAAUGGCUGACCAGCUGAAUUUAAGUUAAAAGAAAAUGUGUUUGUAAUGUAAUAUUUGAUAAGGGCCCUUGAGCAUUUCGAAUCAAGUCAGCUUGAGAACUGUUUUUUUCUGUUGCAACAGGGCGCACGGGUACGAUGGUGUGUACAUGGUUGAUUGACAGCGUUUAGUUUGAGAGUGCGCAGGUGUGGGAAAGGGCAAUGGCAGUGAUCUGAAGGUGCGGAUCAUAGUGAAAAGAGAGCAGGUGUUCCAGUGUGUCUGUGCCACGCAGACGAACUGUAGGCUGUUCCCAGAUACUGAAAACAAUGCCGUGGUGAUCAGCUUUCAGGAAGGGCCAGUGGUUUGUGGUGAUGUUAAGGUCAUGUUUGAAUCCAGGGCUGGUCUUCCAAAGGGGUAUGAGGACUAUCCUUUCUAUUUCUGGUUCAACACUUAAUUUGUAGAGAACAACAGGUGAGGUUUUUGCUGUCCAUUGUCCUCAGAAGCAGACACUGGCUUUGUUUACCUACCAGACCACUCUGGUUUUAGAUUUUAUAUAUAAAAAUGCCAGGCCACUUAAUUCAUUAAUUAGAAUAUUUUGAUAUUUUGUCCCCUCUCAGUUUAGUAACAUUACUGCUUUCAAUGUAAAACGAAAAAUCAUAUGGACUGCUGCACAAGGUCUAAAUCUUUGCUCUAAUGUAGGUUUUCACACACUUAUAAAAGGUGAGUGAUGUUUAGCGAUUGGAUUCGGGCAUAUUGUGCCCCUAAAGCUAUAGCUAUAGCUAUAUAACCUCAACUUUAUGUCCAUCCCCCAUCUUCACUGUAAGAGCUUUUUACUGAGCCAUGCAUACACCACAAUAUUAUGCAUUUGUUUGUCAAAUGUUUUUUUGUCUUUAAAUGAAGACAAAUGUUUGUGUCAGUUUAGCAUAUUAAGCCUCCAAAAUGUAAAUCUUACUCUUUAAGCUUGAGUGUACAUCAAAUAAAGCAAUCGAGGCUGCCACUGUGAAAUGGUCAAUGGUUAUGUGUGCAGAAACAUGUUUUUGUAGUACACAUGUAUUGAAAUAAAUACUAAUGUCUCUGUAA
Astyanax mexicanus (Mexican tetra) is the source of this 1907-nucleotide long non-coding RNA. RefSeq lists it as uncharacterized. The record is from RefSeq and is a predicted model, not a curated record. The transcript is spliced from 4 exons. Lineage: Eukaryota; Metazoa; Chordata; Actinopteri; Characiformes; Acestrorhamphidae.